RNAcentral lists this ribosomal RNA (257 nucleotides) under uncultured bacterium. RNAcentral describes it as "partial 16S ribosomal RNA". It matches the Rfam family "Bacterial small subunit ribosomal RNA", at positions 99 to 353 of the family's 1533-position model. The record is from RNAcentral.
CGGACGGGUGAGUAACGCGUGGGUAACCUGCCCUGUACAGGGGGAUAACAGUCAGAAAUGACUGCUAAUACCGCAUAAGACCACAGCACCGCAUGGUGCAGGGGUAAAAACUACCGGUGGUACAGGAUGGACCCGCGUCUGAUUAGCUGGUUGGUGAGGUAACGGCUCACCAAGGCGACGAUCAGUAGCCGGCUUGAGAGAGUGAACGGCCACAUUGGGACUGAGACACGGCCCAGACUCCUACGGGAGGCAGCAUG